UACACAGUGCCAGAGGCUAUGGGACGCCUUGAUGUGGCGGACUACGGUGUAUUCACCCUGUGUUU
This 65-nucleotide transfer RNA is filed under the name Patelloida saccharinoides. RNAcentral describes it as "tRNA-Ile". Lineage: Eukaryota; Metazoa; Mollusca; Gastropoda; Lottiidae. The record is from RNAcentral.